Molecule: ribosomal RNA, 255 nt
Filed under: uncultured prokaryote
Description: partial 16S ribosomal RNA
Rfam family: Bacterial small subunit ribosomal RNA
Source: RNAcentral
UAUGAGUGCUCCAAGCGUUAUCCGGAAUCAUUGGGCGUAAAGGGUGUGUAGGUUGUCUUAUUAGUCUUCUGUCAAAUUCUUCGGCUCAACCGGGGGUCCGCAGGGGAAACGGUAAGACUUUGGAGGGUGCGAGAGGUCUAUGGAACUCUAGGUGUAGGGGUGAAAUCCGUUGAUAUCUAGGGGAACACCAAAAGCGAAGGCAAUAGACUGGCGCAUUCCUGACACUGAAACACGAAAGCGUGGGUAGCGAAUGGG